AUUGAACGCUGGCGGCAUGCCUUACACAUGCAAGUCGAACGGCAGCAUGGAGAGCUUGCUCUCUGAUGGCGAGUGGCGAACGGGUGAGUAAUGCAUCGGAACGUACCGUGUAAUGGGGGAUAACGUAGCGAAAGUUACGCUAAUACCGCAUACGACCUGAGGGUGAAAGCAGGGGAUCGCAAGACCUUGCGUUAUACGAGCGGCCGAUGUCAGAUUAGCUAGUUGGUGAGGUAAAGGCUCACCAAGGCGACGAUCUGUAGCGGGUCUGAGAGGAUGAUCCGCCACACUGGGACUGAGACACGGCCCAGACUCCUACGGGAGGCAGCAGUGGGGAAUUUUGGACAAUGGGGGCAACCCUGAUCCAGCCAUGCCGCGUGAGUGAAGAAGGCCUUCGGGUUGUAAAGCUCUUUCGGCCGGGAAGAAAUCGCCCCUUCUCCUACUCUGUGUGGAUGACGGUGCCGGCAUAAGAAGCACCGGCUAACUACGUGCCAGCCGCCGCUGUAA
RNAcentral lists this ribosomal RNA (504 nucleotides) under uncultured bacterium. RNAcentral describes it as "partial 16S ribosomal RNA". It matches the Rfam family "Bacterial small subunit ribosomal RNA", at positions 30 to 523 of the family's 1533-position model. The record is from RNAcentral.